RNAcentral lists this unclassified non-coding RNA (337 nucleotides) under soil metagenome. RNAcentral's name for it is "partial contains 5.8S ribosomal RNA, internal transcribed spacer 2, and large subunit ribosomal RNA". The stretch from base 3 to 121 matches the Rfam family "5.8S ribosomal RNA", at positions 36 to 154 of the family's 154-position model. The record is from RNAcentral.
GAAUGAAGAACGCAGCGAAAUGCGAUAAGUAGUGUGAAUUGCAGAAUUCAGUGAAUCAUCGAAUCUUUGAACGCACAUUGCGCCCCUUGGUAUUCCAUGGGGCAUGCCUGUUCGAGCGUCAUUUGUACCUUCAAGCUUUGCUUGGUGUUGGGUGUUUGUCUCGCCUUUGCGUGUAGACUCGCCUUAAAAUAAUUGGCAGCCGGCGUAUUGAUUUCGGAGCGCAGUACAUCUCGCGCUUUGCACUCAUAACGACAGCGUCCAAAAGUACAUUUUACACUCUUGACCUCGGAUCAGGUAGGGAUACCCGCUGAACUUAAGCAUAUCAAUAAGCGGAGGA